This is a long non-coding RNA of Labeo rohita (rohu), 609 nucleotides long. RefSeq lists it as uncharacterized. NCBI's taxonomy places the organism in Eukaryota, Metazoa, Chordata, Actinopteri, Cypriniformes, Cyprinidae. The transcript has 4 exons. The record is from RefSeq and is a predicted model, not a curated record.
CUCCAGAACUCUUCAAAGUGUUUUCUCUGCUUUCUUGUUUAGUUUGUGGAAUGAAGAAGUGUUGGCUGAAACUUUCUGGCUGAGCGCUGACAUCGAUCACAUCAGCAUGCUCGCUUUCUGCAGUAUAUAGUAUGUAUACUGUGCACGAACUUAGCAACCACUCAGAACACCAUAGCAACACCUCAGCAACCAUCCACAACAUCCCAGAGGUGUGGUACAGCUGCAUAACUUUUGCACAGUAUCACUUUAUAAACCCCAAGGUACACCACGUGACCUCCUUGCCCUUAAGAAUAACCUGCUGACCCUGCUGUUAGCGAGGCGAAAUUUGACAUCCUCCCGGUCUUCUGUUCCUGUGAGCCUCUCUCUGCCAACAAACCCAUGUGGGUAAACAACACCUCGGCCUUUUGCGCUCCACGCCUGCUGACCUCAGCUGCAUUUUUUCUGCUGUGGUCGGUGACCUGCACGGCAGAUCCUGCUCAAAUUAACGCUGCUUCAAGACAUCCGCCCCCAUGAUGGGCGCAGUUUGGCACCAUCCUGCGAGCCCUGUUUAGUUUGCACUGGCCAGUGGCUGGUGGUCAAAAUUAUUAAUCGUGGAGCCAUCCAGAAACA